UGGGGAAUUUUGGACAAUGGGCGCAAGCCUGAUCCAGCCAUGCCGCGUGCGGGAAGAAGGCCUUCGGGUUGUAAACCGCUUUUGUCAGGGAAGAAAUCUUCUGAGUUAAUACCUCGGGAGGAUGACGGUACCUGAAGAAUAAGCACCGGCUAACUACGUGCCAGCAGCCGCGGUAAUACGUAGGGUGCAAGCGUUAAUCGGAAUUACUGGGCGUAAAGCGUGCGCAGGCGGUUUUGUAAGACAGAGGUGAAAUCCCCGGGCUCAACCUGGGAACUGCCUUUGUGACUGCAAGGCUUGAGUGCGGCAGAGGGGGGAUGGAAUUCCGCGUGUAGCAGUGAAAUGCGUAGAUAUGCGGAGGAACACCGAUGGCGAAGGCAAUCCCCUGGGCCUGCACUGACGCUCAUGCACGAAAGCGUGGGGAGCAAACAGGAUUAGAUACCCUGGUAGUCCACGCCCUAAACGAUGUCAACUGGUUGUUGGGAAGGUUCCUUCUCAGUAACGUAGCUAACGCGUGAAGUUGACCGCCUGGGGAGUACGGCCGCAAGGUUGAAACUUAAAUGAAUUGAC
This 567-nucleotide ribosomal RNA is filed under the name uncultured bacterium. RNAcentral's name for it is "partial 16S ribosomal RNA". It matches the Rfam family "Bacterial small subunit ribosomal RNA", at positions 355 to 914 of the family's 1533-position model. The record is from RNAcentral.